AUCUUCUCACCUCUUUUUUUUAGCUUUUUCUUCCUCUCUUUCUCUAAAGCACUAGAAUGGUUUUUGAAGAAGAGUUUAGUGAAUUUGGGUAUUGUGAGCUGAGAAGAGGCUAGUGAGCAGGGAUUCAGCUAGAAAGAAAGAAAUUGAGGUCGGCGACGCACUAAUUACAGUAGAAGCCAAUUCGGCUCUAAUUGCAUUGAGUCGCGUGAUAUUGUUGUUGGCACAGUUCGAGACGUGGAUUCUAGUUGUUGACACCACUACAGGUUCCAGUGCGAGCGGUGUGGCCGAGGACCGUGGCAAGAGCCCUGCAGCCUAACUAGUUGACACCAGAGUAUAGUAGUUUACCAUUUUGGAUUUCAUGUGAUACAUUUUGAUGUACAGAAACUUGUAAAUGAGUGUAUAAAGGGCAUAUAAAUAACUAAAUGUUUCAGUUAUUCAGU
This is a long non-coding RNA of Ananas comosus (pineapple), 440 nucleotides long. RefSeq lists it as uncharacterized. The transcript is spliced from 3 exons. NCBI's taxonomy places the organism in Eukaryota, Viridiplantae, Streptophyta, Magnoliopsida, Poales, Bromeliaceae. The record is from RefSeq and is a predicted model, not a curated record.